GAACCUGAGGCCCGAGAGGAGUGGCCCGCGCUGGCCCCUGGUUUCCAAGGGCGGCCGGCUUCUUCCAGUGUAGCAAGGCCCAGGGCAGUUACAGCUGAAGUUUUCAUAGACUGUUCUGCAGAUGAAGUUUGGCAUCUUGGGCAUCUCCUCUUACCUCUUAAGACAGGAAGCACUCAUCCUGAGGAUAACAAACUCCCUAACCCUGCCUCCCCUCAUCUCUGAGGAUUCCAGACCUUCUUAUGGCCGAAGAGAGUACUUCUGAUAACACAGGAGAGGAGGGAUGGAAGGAGGGAAAGAAUAAGCAUUUACAUAACACCUACUAUGUACCAGAUUCAUUUCCUGAAUUGUGGGCUUUAUUAUCUGAAACAAGAAGGCACAAAUUGUAAGCUGUGUACAAAAGACAUGACCACCCAGAAUCUCUUUGCUCAACAUACACACAAUAAAUGCCACCUCAGAGAGAGGUGGUAUAAGCAACUUAAUCAAUCACUCCCAUUAAAGCCUGGGCAUUCUGUUGGGUGCAGACAUACCCAAAGUCUGAUCAAAACAAGAUCUAAGACUUCUAGAAAAGCU
Molecule: long non-coding RNA, 570 nt
Organism: Gracilinanus agilis (Agile Gracile Mouse Opossum)
Lineage: Eukaryota; Metazoa; Chordata; Mammalia; Didelphimorphia; Didelphidae
Exons: 3
Source: RefSeq, a predicted model, not a curated record